Molecule: long non-coding RNA, 976 nt
Filed under: Macaca mulatta (Rhesus monkey)
Lineage: Eukaryota; Metazoa; Chordata; Mammalia; Primates; Cercopithecidae
Description: lncRNA (ENSMMUG00000057060.1)
Source: RNAcentral
CUUGCUACUAACCAAAUUAGUAGUAGGUAUUUGGGAGAGAAAUUGGUUCAUCUAAUCUAUUUAAGAGAAAAGUUGACUUUAGAGUGAGGAUGUAAUCCCGAAAGUUUGUGUAUGAGUUGUGAAUUUUUAAAAUGUGAUCUUUAGGUGCUCAGGCGUUUCUGGUGGAGGUGCUAGAUGAGCUGAGUUGGCAGUUAAUUGGAACUUUCCUGUUGCAAAACCGAAAAUCUCAACACAGCGUUUCCUGAUGACCUGUUUCACUGUCUUAUUUGUCUCAUAGACUACGCACUACUUGCUCAGGUGGUGCACCAAUACUUUGCUAAGGAAAUUCAAUCUCCUAGUGCAGUUUCUAAGACAUAUUUAUUAAUUGAGGCUGACUCACCAUCCCAGAGUUGUAAUAUCAUUAAAGGCUGUCCAAUGACAUAAGUCUUGAAAAUGUUCCUUCAAUUAUUUGCACUAGUCCAUUUACCCUGCUCCUCUUGUCUCCUGGAGCUGCAAUCCUAGCUUAAUCCCAAAUUUGGACAUUCAUCUAUUUAUUCAUUCAUUCACUCAGUUCAAGCAUUUAAUAUUUAUUGGGUGUCAGCUCUUGUUGCUGUGCUAAACCCUCAGGGUACUAAGUUGAGUAAAACCUCAGAAUUCCAUAAUCGGUGGAGACCUUAGAGAUCAUCCAGUGAAAAGCAAGAAAAUCAGGAUAAAAUAUCUCAUCAUGCAUGAAAAAAUAGCUUCUCUGCUCAAGAGAGGUGAGAAGCCAAGAAUAACUCCAUGUGCCAAUUUCCCAGACUCUGAGAAUUUUAUAGGCUUAAAGUGCCACGGAGAUUCUGUUGUCGUUUAUGCUUUUUUUUUUCUAUUUGUAUUACAGUUAACAAGAUCAACCUUGCUGGGAAAUGAACAAGUGACCAGAGUUGAGAGCAGUGCUGUGCAGAUGGUAAGUAUAGAAGCUUUGUGAAUAAAAGCUGGUCAUGGUUAACCCUCAGAUUAU